UGUGGUUUGUUUCGAAAAAUAUAGUGUUUCAUUUUAAGUCACUAGCACAUUGCCAAUUUUUCAGAGUUGUUGGAGUGGAAUUAAUUUAACACGACAUGGCAACGUCGCACGUACAGUUCAGUCCCAAAAUUAUCAGAGAAAUAUUUUGAUGUGUUUGUAUCCAUUUGCACAAAAUUGGCAACACCAGAGUUUGUGUUUUUUAAAAUGUGCCUUAAAAUGUAGACAGUUUAGUAAAUAUUAUUUUAAAGAUAUGGAUGUGGUAACAGCCGGUAAACAGUAAACAGUGCUACGUGUUGUUACUUUAAGGGGGACUUCUGUAAAUUUUAUUUUCAUUUUGAUAAGAAGUAGUGCGAAGAAUCAUGAAUGGAAAGUUCCAAAGUUAAGUUUUUGCGUUGAACUCUUGUCGUUCGAUAGCACAUGGCCGUGUCGUAAAAAAAGAAGCGUAGAAGUUGUCCCGAUUUGCCAAUAAAUAAUAAUGAAUGCGAUAAUAAUGACGGCAUCGCCUCCAAUAAGUCUACUUUCCCAGUAAUAAUAAAUUUUAUCAAUGGAUAGUUGAAAUGACGAAUGACGAAUCACUUUCGUGUUGUAAUGGCUUAUAAAAGUUGUGUUGAACACUUUUCAAAUAUCAGACGAACUGACUUCGGAUAGAUUGAUGUAGCUUUGAACUUGUGACCUUAAGAUAAUUCACUAUCAAUUUAAUUGAGUAUAUACCAUCAUAACUUAUUCCCUUUGUUUAGAUGGUAAAGUGAAGCUGUAAAUAUGGAUCGAUUUUUCAUCGCUUUAUCAAUCAUUAUUGUGUUCAAUAUUUGUUUGUUAUACGCUGUGCCCGUCGAACAAGAGAGCAAUUCAACACAAAUCAAGGCAAUUUCAGCUAUUAACCAAUCGUCCAACGACACUUUGUGCUUGUAUGGCUUCGAGUACGUCAACGGCACGUGCAAAGAGAUUUUUCGAAAAUGAUCAGUGCACAUCGCAUGAAAUCCUCGGAUAAAAAAUUAUUAACUGUAUUGUGAUGUGCAUGUAUUAUUUAUUAUGUAAUUUAUUUAUUCCGUGUCAGGUUAUGUAAGUUUAAUUACAUAAUGUGUAUAUUAAUAAUGUGAUCGUUGACGUUAUAUACUGUUUAUAUAAAGUAGUUGUGACACUUUAGAAAUUAAUUUGUUUGUUUCGUGUAGGUUACACUUUUAAAUCGACGCAAAUCCCUCGUUUUGUUUAAAUUAAAUAUUAAAUAAAAUGCAGAGGUUUGCGUCACGUUAAUUAAAAUGUAAAUCCUAGUUUCUCACUGCUCGUUAUGAAUAAAAUCACCCUCCUCAUAUGUGUCAGGUUUUCAUUGCACCUAAUUAGUGAUUACCAGGAAAUGGACAUAAAUAGAACUAAAUAACGUGAUGGAAAACUACGAACAAUAUUAAAUAGCUAAACUAGGAGUUCAUAGAUAGUAAAACAGUGAACGAAAUUGUCUGAACGUCCCCACCAAUAAUUGGUUGACGUCACGUCAAAAUUUUGCUAGAGGAUUUUCCUUCAAGUUGGCAGCACUGCACACUACGGAAAUUUGAUUGGUUGAAAACCCAACGUCAACGGCGAACCGCAACGUCAGCGACAAGUUUAUAAAUCGACCUUUAUCAGCUUAGAAGAUAAAAUUGACUUGAUGACGUGGUUUCAAAAUUUUGCUCAUAGAUCUUGUCUAAAAUGAGUAAAAUAUUGUGUGUCACCAUAUUUUUUAGAAUUAUUUAUACAGGAUGUCUAACAAAAUUAAUGACGUUAUCACUUUUGUGAUAACGUCAUUAAUUUUAGUAUUUAUUUUAGUUUUAUGAGAUUAAAAUCAAGUCGUCAAUAUUCUAAAUUUUGAUUUUAGAAGGGAAUUGGUAGUUUGACCGUCCACUUGCGAUGGAACAUUCUGUACAUUGGCAUGUGUUAAAGACGGAUAAUAAAAGUGUACUUUUCUAAAUAUUAAAACCAAAAAGUAAUAAAAAUGGACAAUAUUUUGAAUUUAACAACGAGUAAUUUGUAAAAAAUCUGGUUUUUAAAUCAACAACAACUAUCUACGCAAUAGUCAUACUUAUUUAUUCCACGAAACCGCAUUUAAAAGAUACAGAAAUAUUUAUCUAUUGCUGCUAUGUAUGUAUUUUUUGGUGAACUUUAACCAGUGGAUCAUAGUGAUUCAUUUAUCGUCAAAUAAUCCUGGAAAAUUUAAACUAAAUUUCAUGAAAUAGAUUAUAAUGCAAUAAUGUGCAUUAUUAGGAAUGCAGUGGGUUAUUGUCUGUGAACUGCGAUAACACAAUUCAUAAAAAUAAUAACACAAAAUUUUCCAAUCAAGCAGUAUUGUUUACCGCGAUCGAUACACCUACCUAUUAGUCCGUUGACUUUAAUGUCAUUAGCACUGUUUACAUAUCAUUAAUUGCAAUACAAGGGAAAAAAAACAAUUUUUCAAACUUACUCAUUAACCACAUCAUUACUAUUUCCUCUAGGAAACAGCGGUUUUACGAGAUUAGCACUCUAUAAUUUGCACUUAAUUCAAUUAUUACAUUAAUUCAGGAACACGAACCACAUUGAUUUUAUGUUCCUGUUUUAACCAGAUAAGAAGUUUUUUAAAUAAUUAGUCCCCGCAAAACCGUUAAUAUCUUCUACGAGUUUAUUGAGCCCACAUCGUUCGGCGUCAUGAUUUCUAAAAUCCUUUGCUGUCUCAUUAUUUUUUUGUUUGGAUAUGUGAUAACCACAUUUUCGAUGCCAGUGGCGUAUGUGAAAAAGCACCCUUGUCCUCCUGGGGAGGUGAUGAUUCAUCCGGGGAUCUGCAGGGAGGUGAACUAUUUCUACGACGAGGAGUACAAUUAUAAGUAGUGAAGCCGUGUUUCGCUUUCAUAGGACUGUUUUAUAAUCGCAAGUUUUGUCAGCUUUUGUACUAAUAAUUAUGAUCUUGUAGUUAAAUUAAAAUAAAAGUGUGGUAUAGGGGA
Long non-coding RNA from Zophobas morio, 2942 nucleotides. RefSeq lists it as uncharacterized. The transcript is spliced from 5 exons. The record is from RefSeq and is a predicted model, not a curated record. Lineage: Eukaryota; Metazoa; Arthropoda; Insecta; Coleoptera; Tenebrionidae.